This is a non-coding RNA of Desulfobacteraceae bacterium 4572_35.1, 99 nucleotides long. NCBI's taxonomy places the organism in Bacteria, Pseudomonadati, Thermodesulfobacteriota, Desulfobacteria, Desulfobacterales, Desulfobacteraceae. The record is from Rfam.
AACCGGGUCCCGCGCAACGGGCGCUCGUGAACUCCGUCAGGCCUGGAAGGGAGCAGCGGUAACGAUGUCGUCAGUGUGCCGCGGGGGCGCCUGGUUGCC